RNAcentral lists this ribosomal RNA (504 nucleotides) under uncultured bacterium. RNAcentral describes it as "bacterial SSU rRNA". It matches the Rfam family "Bacterial small subunit ribosomal RNA", at positions 16 to 507 of the family's 1533-position model. The record is from RNAcentral.
AUCAUGGCUCAGGAUGAACGCUAGCUACAGGCUUAACACAUGCAAGUCNCGGGGUAACAUCUGGUAGAGCUUGCUCUUCCAGGAUGACGACCGGCGCACGGGUGAGUAACGCGUAUCCAACCUGGCCCAUACCACGGGAUAGCCCGUCGAAAGGCGGAUUAAUACCGUAUGCUGUCAUUAAGAUGCAUAUAUUGAUGACGAAAGGACUGGCGGUAUGGGAUGGGGAUGCGUCUGAUUAGCUUGUUGGCGGGGUAACGGCCCACCAAGGCGACGAUCAGUAGGGGUUCUGAGAGGAAGGUCCCCCACAUUGGAACUGAGACACGGUCCAAACUCCUACGGGAGGCAGCAGUGGGGAAUAUUGGUCAAUGGGCGGAAGCCUGAACCAGCCAAGUAGCGUGCAGGACGACGGCCCUAUGGGUUGUAAACUGCUUUUAUGCGGGGAUAAAGUGGGCCACGUGUGGCCUUUUGCAGGUACCGCAUGAAUAAGGACCGGCUAAUUCCGUG